UUGAAGAGUUUGAUCAUGGCUCAGAUUGAACGCUGGCGGCAGGCCUAACACAUGCAAGUCGAACGGUAACAGGAAGAAGCUUGCUUCUUUGCUGACGAGUGGCGGACGGGUGAGUAAUGUCUGGGAAACUGCCUGAUGGAGGGGGAUAACUACUGGAAACGGUAGCUAAUACCGCAUAACGUCGCAAGACCAAAGAGGGGGACCUUCGGGCCUCUUGCCAUCGGAUGUGCCCAGAUGGGAUUAGCUUGUUGGUGGGGUAACGGCUCACCAAGGCGACGAUCCCUAGCUGGUCUGAGAGGAUGACCAGCCACACUGGAACUGAGACACGGUCCAGACUCCUACGGGAGGCAGCAGUGGGGAAUAUUGCACAAUGGGCGCAAGCCUGAUGCAGCCAUGCCGCGUGUAUGAAGAAGGCCUUCGGGUUGUAAAGUACUUUCAGCGGGGAGGAAGGGAGUAAAGUUAAUACCUUUGCUCAUUGACGUUACCCGCAGAAGAAGCACCGGCUAACUCCGUGCCAGCAGCCGCGGUAAUACGGAGGGUGCAAGCGUUAAUCGGAAUUACUGGGCGUAAAGCGCACGCAGGCGGUUUGUUAAGUCAGAUGUGAAAUCCCCGGGCUCAACUCGGGAACUGCAUCUGAUACUGGCAAGCUUGAGUCUCGUAGAGGGGGGUAGAAUUCCAGGUGUAGCGGUGAAAUGCGUAGAGAUCUGGAGGAAUACCGGUGGCGAAGGCGGCCCCCUGGACGAAGACUGACGCUCAGGUGCGAAAGCGUGGGGAGCAAACAGGAUUAGAUACCCUGGUAGUCCACGCCGUAAACGAUGUCGACUUGGAGGUUGUGCCCUUGAGGCGUGGCUUCCGGAGCUAACGCGUUAAGUCGACCGCCUGGGGAGUACGGCCGCAAGGUUAAAACUCAAAUGAAUUGACGGGGGCCCGCACAAGCGGUGGAGCAUGUGGUUUAAUUCGAUGCAACGCGAAGAACCUUACCUGGUCUUGACAUCCACAGAACUUUCCAGAGAUGGAUUGGUGCCCUCGGGAACUGUGAGACAGGUGCUGCAUGGCUGUCGUCAGCUCGUGUUGUGAAAUGUUGGGUUAAGUCCCGCAACGAGCGCAACCCUUAUCCUUUGUUGCCAGCGGUCCGGCCGGGAACUCAAAGGAGACUGCCAGUGAUAAACUGGAGGAAGGUGGGGAUGACGUCAAGUCAUCAUGGCCCUUACGACCAGGGCUACACACGUGCUACAAUGGCGCAUACAAAGAGAAGCGACCUCGCGAGAGCAAGCGGACCUCAUAAAGUGCGUCGUAGUCCGGAUUGGAGUCUGCAACUCGACUCCAUGAAGUCGGAAUCGCUAGUAAUCGUGGAUCAGAAUGCCACGGUGAAUACGUUCCCGGGCCUUGUACACACCGCCCGUCACACCAUGGGAGUGGGUUGCAAAAGAAGUAGGUAGCUUAACCUUCGGGAGGGCGCUUACCACUUUGUGAUUCAUGACUGGGGUGAAGUCGUAACAAGGUAACCGUAGGGGAACCUGCGGUUGGAUCACCUCCUU
This 1538-nucleotide ribosomal RNA is filed under the name Escherichia coli. RNAcentral's name for it is "bacterial SSU rRNA". It matches the Rfam family "Bacterial small subunit ribosomal RNA". Lineage: Bacteria; Pseudomonadati; Pseudomonadota; Gammaproteobacteria; Enterobacterales; Enterobacteriaceae. The record is from RNAcentral.